AGCGAACGCUGGCGGCAGGCCUAACACAUGCAAGUCGAACGAACUCUUCGGAGUUAGUGGCGGACGGGUGAGUAACACGUGGGAACGUGCCCUUUGGUACGGAAUAACUCAGGGAAACUUGAGCUAAUACCGUAUGUGCCCUUCGGGGGAAAGAUUUAUCGCCAUUGGAGCGGCCCGCGUCUAAUUAGCUAGUUGGUGAGGUAAAGGCUCACCAAGGCUACGAUCAGUAGCUGGUCUGAGAGGAUGAUCAGCCACAUUGGGACUGAGACACGGCCCAAACUCCUACGGGAGGCAGCAGUGGGGAAUCUUGCGCAAUGGGCGAAAGCCUGACGCAGCCAUGCCGCGUGAAUGAUGAAGGUCUUAGGAUUGUAAAAUUCUUUCACCGGGGACGAUAAUGACGGUACCCGGAGAAGAAGCCCCGGCUAACUUCGUG
This 433-nucleotide ribosomal RNA is filed under the name uncultured bacterium. RNAcentral describes it as "partial 16S ribosomal RNA". It matches the Rfam family "Bacterial small subunit ribosomal RNA", at positions 29 to 507 of the family's 1533-position model. The record is from RNAcentral.